This 446-nucleotide ribosomal RNA is filed under the name uncultured bacterium. RNAcentral's name for it is "partial 16S ribosomal RNA". It matches the Rfam family "Bacterial small subunit ribosomal RNA", at positions 354 to 796 of the family's 1533-position model. The record is from RNAcentral.
GUGGGGAAUAUUGGACAAUGGGGGGAACCCUGAUCCAGCCAUGCCGCGUGGAGGAAGACUGCCCUCUGGGUUGUAAACUCCUUUUAUAUGGGAAGAACCGUCCUCAUUAAUGAGUGACCUGACGGUACCAUAGGAAUAAGCACCGGCUAACUCCGUGCCAGCAGCCGCGGUAAUACGGAGGGUGCAAGCGUUAUCCGGAUUCACUGGGUUUAAAGGGUGCGUAGGCGGAUAAAUAAGUCAGUGGUGAAAUCAACGGGCUCAACCUGUUAACUGCCAUUGAUACUGUGUAUCUUGAAUAUGAGAGAGGUAGGCGGAAUGUUGCAUGUAGCGGUGAAAUGCUUAGAUAUGCUACGGAACACCGAUUGCGAAGGCAGCUUACUAUUUCGUAAUUGACGCUGAGGCACGAAAGCGUGGGUAGCGAACAGGAUUAGAAACCCCUGUAGUCC